Molecule: ribosomal RNA, 404 nt
Filed under: Pseudomonas sp.
Lineage: Bacteria; Pseudomonadati; Pseudomonadota; Gammaproteobacteria; Pseudomonadales; Pseudomonadaceae
Also listed under: 3 other names
Description: partial 16S ribosomal RNA
Rfam family: Bacterial small subunit ribosomal RNA
Source: RNAcentral
UGGGGAAUAUUGGACAAUGGGCGCAAGCCUGAUCCAGCCAUGCCGCGUGAGUGAUGAAGGCCCUAGGGUUGUAAAGCUCUUUCACCGGUGAAGAUAAUGACGGUAACCGGAGAAGAAGCCCCGGCUAACUUCGUGCCAGCAGCCGCGGUAAUACGAAGGGGGCUAGCGUUGUUCGGAUUUACUGGGCGUAAAGCGCACGUAGGCGGACUUUUAAGUCAGGGGUGAAAUCCCGGGGCUCAACCCCGGAACUGCCUUUGAUACUGGAAGUCUUGAGUAUGGUAGAGGUGAGUGGAAUUCCGAGUGUAGAGGUGAAAUUCGUAGAUAUUCGGAGGAACACCAGUGGCGAAGGCGGCUCACUGGACCAUUACUGACGCUGUGGUGCGAAAGCGUGGGGAGCAAACAGG